This 3328-nucleotide long non-coding RNA is filed under the name Salmo salar (Atlantic salmon). RNAcentral's name for it is "lncRNA (ENSSSAG00000115894.1)". Lineage: Eukaryota; Metazoa; Chordata; Actinopteri; Salmoniformes; Salmonidae. The record is from RNAcentral.
CAUUUUUUAAGGCUUCCAUUGGCUCUAGGAAGGCGCCAGAAAGUGGAAUGAGAGCUCUCCAGUCUCUGGGCGAAAAACAGCAGGGGUUUUUGUGAGUGGUCCUGCUGAGAACAAUGACACUGCAGCGCGCGUGCACGAGACGACUCCAUUUUUUCCUUUCAGUGUUUGAACGAAUACAACGUCACCCGGUUGGAAUACUAUCGCUAUUUUACGAGAAAAAUAGCAUAAAAAUGUAUUUUAAACAGCGUUUGACAUGCUUCGAAGUACGAUAAUGGAAUAUUUUGAAUUUUUUUGUCACGAAAUGCACCGUCAUUCAAGUCACUACCUUUCGGAUAGUGACUUGAACGCACAAACAAAACGGAGCUAUUUGGAUAUAACUAUGGAUUAUUUUGAACCAAAACAACAUUUGUUGUAGAAGUCCUGGGAGUGCAUUCUGACGAAGAACAGCAAAGGACCUGAGCCCUAGGACCAUGCCUCAGGACUACCUGGUAUGAUGACUCCUUGCUGUCCCCAGUCCACCUGGCCGUGCUGCUGCUCCAGUUUCAACUGUUCUGCCUGCGGCUAUGGAACCCUGACAUGUUCACCGGACGUGCUUGUUGCACCCUCGACAACUACUAUGAUUAUUAUUAUUUCACCAUGCUGGUCAUUUAUGAACAUUUUAACAUUUUAACAUCUUGACCAUGUUCUGUUAUAAUAUCCACCCUGCACAGCCAGAAGAGGACUGGCCACCCCUCAUAGCCUGGUUCCUCUCUAGGUUUCUUCCUAGGUUUUUGGCCUUUCUAGGGAGUUUUUCCUAGGGAGUUUUUCCUAGCCACCGUGCUUCUUUCACAUGCUUUGCUUGCUGUUUGGGGUUUUAGGCUGGGUUUCUGUACAGCACUUUGAGAUAUCAGCUGAUGUACGAAGGGCUAUAUAAAAAUAAAUUUGAUUGAUAAUCACUCAGGUGCUUCGCUAUGUCCCAUUUGACAUCGUCCAUAAGCUUGAGUUCAUUUGCACACAAAAACUCAAACAAUGAUGGAAAGAUCUGUGUGUUGUCCUUGUUAAUGCAGACAGAGAAUAGCUCCAACUUCUUAAUCAUAGCCUCAAUUUUGUCCUGCACAUUGAAUAUAGUUGUGGAGAGUCCUUGUAAUCCUAGAUUCAGAUCAUUCAGGCGAGAAAAAACAUUACCCAGAUAGGCAAAUUGUGGCCAUCAUGCAAGAGUAAAAUGUGAAAAUGAUGGUCAGCAAAGAAAACUUUAAGCUCGUCUCUCAAUUAAAAAAACAUGUAAAAGUUUGCCCCUUGAUAAUCAGCGUAUGUUGUAAAAGUGUUACAUGGUCGCUGCCCAUAUCAUUGCAUAGUGCAGAAAAUAGUUCAGGGGCCUUGCUUUAACAAAGUUAACCAUUUUUACUGCAGUGUCCCAAACAUCUUUCAAGCUGUCAGGCAUUCCCUUGGCAGCAAGAUCCUCUCGGUGGAUGCUGCAGUGUACCCAAGUGGCGUCGGGAGCAACUGCUUGCAUGUGUGUUACCACUCCACUAUGUCUCCCCGUCAUGGCUUUUGCGCCAUCAGUACAGAUACCAACAUGAGCAGCAGCUACAGUUUUGCUACAUACGGACCGUUAGUGGAAUUCCCGUGAGAGGUAAUGGUUAAUGUGAUUGGAUAAUAAUUAUUUUACAAGGCUACCUGUAUUUGACAUUAUGUUGAUAUUUUGCUGAAAUCUAGAUGGUUUAAUUUUAUUUUUGGCAGUGAAACGAGGUUACUCAGGCAUGAAAAAAACAUCACCCAAAUGUAUAGCCCCGUUGGGAAAUAUAAAUGGACUGUUGGAACAUGUGAAGAAUUGUUUUUGUUUUUUUAUUUAAAAAAAUAAAAAAUGUGAAUCACAUUUUUCUUUGGCAUUGCUACCCUAGUUUGGGAAGACCUGUUAUAAGACAUGAAAGUCAGUCAAUCCGUAAAAUUUUCAAGAAAUUAGAAAAAUUCUUCAAGUGAAGUUCCAAAAACCAUUUAAGCGCUAUGAUGAAACUGGCUCUCAUGAGUACUGCCACAGGAAAUGGAGACCCAGAGUUACCAUUGCUGCAGAGGAUAAGUUAAUUUGAGUUACCAGCCUCAGCAAUUGCUGCCCAAAUAAAUGCUUCACAGAGUUCAAGUAACAGACACAUCUCAACAUAAACUGUUCAGAGGAGAAUCAGGCCUUCCUUGUCGAAUUGCUGCAAAGAAACCACCACUAAAGGACACACAUACGAAGAAGAUACUUGCUUGGGCCAAGAAACACAAGCAAUGGACGUUAGACAGGUGGAAAUUUGUCCUUUGGUCUGCAGUCCAAAUUUGAGAUUUUUGGUUCCAACCGCCGUGUCUUUGUGAGACACAGAGUAGGUGAAUGGAUGAUCUCCGCAUGUGUGGUUCCCACCGUGAAGCACGGAGGAGGAGGUGUGAUUGUGUGGGGUUGCUUUGCUGGUGAUACUGUCUGUGAUUUAUUUAGAAUUCAAGGCACACUUAAGGCUACCACAGCGAUACACCAUCCCAUCGGGUUUGCGCUUAGUGGGACUAUCAUUUGUUUUUCAACAGGACAAUGACCCAACACACCUCCAGGCUGUGUAAGUGCUGUGUAAGGAGAGUGAUGGAGUGCUGUAUCAGGUGACCUGGCCUCCACAAUCACCUUACCUCAACCCAAUUGAGAUGGUUUAGGAUUAGUUGGACCGCAGAGUGAAGGAAAAGCAUCAAAGCCAAGGUUGGCUACUGAAGAAUUGAAAAUAUUAAAUAUAUUUUGAUUUGAUUAACACUUUUUUGCUUACUACAUGAUUCCAUGUGUUAUUUCAGAGUUUUGAUGUCUUCACUAUUUUUCUACAAUGUAGAAAAUAGUAAAAAUAAAGAAAAACCCUUGAAUGAGAAGGUUUGUCCAGACAGUUUCAGGUUGCCUUUUGGAGUGCCAAACUUCCUUAGCCUUCUGAGAAUAAACAUUCUCUGGUUGGCUUUUUUUGGUUGGUGUAUUUACCUGCAUGUCCCAUCUAAAGUCAGCCUGCACCCACAAGCCUAUGAGCUUGGUGACUUAGACUAUCACAUUUGAAGGUCAGGCAGAAGAGUCAAAGCACUGAAUAACUAGAAAACAGGAACUAAGACAAGACAGGAGCAAGUGGAAAAAUGCUGGUAGGUUCUACAAACAAAAGGAAUUGACAACAGACAAACAGAGAACACAAGUAAAAAUACACUGGGGAUAAUUGGGAAGCUGGGCAACAUUGGAGGGGGUGGAGACAAGCACAAAGACAGGUGAAACAGAUCAGGGCGUGACAGGGACACUUUCCAGCCUAAUGCCAUCUAUGCUCAGAUGAGGCAGGGUGGGUGUGUUCUUUGUAAAGCAGAC